UCCUCAGUAGCUCAGUGGCAGAGCGGUCGACUGUUAAUCGAUUGGUCGUAGGUUCAAAUCCUACCUGGGGAG
This 72-nucleotide transfer RNA is filed under the name Botryococcus braunii. RNAcentral's name for it is "tRNA-Asn". It matches the Rfam family "tRNA". Rfam says of the family: Transfer RNA (tRNA) molecules are approximately 80 nucleotides in length. The record is from RNAcentral. Lineage: Eukaryota; Viridiplantae; Chlorophyta; Trebouxiophyceae. RNAcentral also lists the same sequence under 35 other names.